RNAcentral lists this ribosomal RNA (459 nucleotides) under uncultured bacterium. Its description in RNAcentral is "partial 16S ribosomal RNA". It matches the Rfam family "Bacterial small subunit ribosomal RNA", at positions 338 to 795 of the family's 1533-position model. The record is from RNAcentral.
CCUACGGGAGGCAGCAGUGGGGAAUAUUGCACAAUGGGGGAAACCCUGAUGCAGCGACGCCGCGUGCAGGAUGACGGCUCUAUGAGUUGUAAACUGCUUUUGUACGAGAAUAAUAGUUCUUACGUGUAGGGAUUUGAAUGUAUCGUACGAAUAAGGAUCGGCUAACUCCGUGCCAGCAGCCGCGGUAAUACGGAGGAUUCGAGCGUUAUCCGGAUUUAUUGGGUUUAAAGGGUGCGUAGGCGGUUGGAUGAGUUAGAGGUCAAAUGUCGGGGCUCAACCCCGGCCCGCCGUUGAAACUGGCAGUGUCGAGUUGGAGAGAAGUAUGCGGAAUGCGCGGUGUAGCGGUGAAAUGCAUAGAUAUCGCGCAGAACUCCGAUUGCGAAGGCAGCAUGCCGGCUCCACACUGACGCUGAGGCACGAAAGCGUGGGUAUCGAACAGGAUUAGAUACCCUAGUAGUC